AGCCUGCGUCCUAUUAGCUAGUUGGUAGGGUAAUGGCCUACCAAGGCUAUGAUGGGUAGCCGGCCUGAGAGGGUGAUCGGCCACACUGGGACUGAGACACGGCCCAGACUCCUACGGGAGGCAGCAGUGAGGAAUUUUGCGCAAUGGGCGAAAGCCUGAUCCAGCAACGCCGCGUGCACGAUAACGGCCUUCGGGUUGUAAAGUGCUUUUAAGGGAGAUGAGAAAGGACAGUAUCCCUUGAAUAAGCCUCGGCGAACUACGUGCCAGCAGCCGCGGUAAAACGUAGGAGGCAAGCGUUAUCCGGAUUUAUUGGGCGUAAAGCGCGUGCAGGCUGUUUGGAAAGUUGGAUGUGAAAGCUCCUGGCUUAACUGGGAGAGGUCGUUCAAAACUACCAAACUAGAGAAUGGGAGGGGGAAGUGGAAUUCCGGGUGUAGUGGUGAAAUGCGUAGAUAUCCGGAGGAACACCAGUGGCGAAAGCGGCUUCCUAGACCAUUUCUGACGCUUAGACGCGAAAGCUAGGGGAGCGAACGGGAUUUAGAGACCCCGGUAGUCCUAGCUGUAACGAUGUAGACUUGGCGUUGGCGGAG
RNAcentral lists this ribosomal RNA (587 nucleotides) under uncultured bacterium. Its description in RNAcentral is "bacterial SSU rRNA". It matches the Rfam family "Bacterial small subunit ribosomal RNA", at positions 228 to 831 of the family's 1533-position model. The record is from RNAcentral.